CAGGGAGACAACAAAAUGUUUAAUAUUAUUAUUUUGUCACCUUAGGUCGAUCGGUAUCUCACGUUCUUAAUUUAUUAAGAAUUUCAUUUCCUAAGUUUUUCUAGGUCACACCCAUUAUUUUUCCUGGGCCAUUAGCUCAGGUGGUUAGAGCGCACCCCUGAUAAGGGUGAGGUCCCUGGUUCAAGUCCAGGAUGGCCCAUAUCUCUAUGUUGGGGGUAUAGCUCAGUUGGUAGAGCGCCUGCUUUGCAAGCAGGAUGUCAGCGGUUCGAGUCCGCUUACCUCCACUGAUUACCACCUCUUCCAUAUCUUUAGAAAGGAAAUUUUUUGUGUUGUGACCAAUUUCUGAACGAAUCUAGCUUCAUAAUGAAUUCAUUAAGAUGCUGGACUCAUUGAAUUAAUUUCAUUGUUUUCAGAGAACCUUGACAACUGCAUAGAUUUUUUUAAAAGACAAUAAGCAUCUUAAAGAUGCAGAUUUAUUAUUUGUGCGAAUGCAUUAAUAACAAUUCUAUUAAGCUGAUGCUUCAAUUUUUGAAGUUAUU
RNAcentral lists this transfer RNA (539 nucleotides) under uncultured Prochlorococcus sp. RNAcentral describes it as "partial 16S-23S ribosomal RNA intergenic spacer". The stretch from base 212 to 284 matches the Rfam family "tRNA". Lineage: Bacteria; Bacillati; Cyanobacteriota; Cyanophyceae; Synechococcales; Prochlorococcaceae. The record is from RNAcentral.